Long non-coding RNA from Lutra lutra (Eurasian river otter), 437 nucleotides. RefSeq lists it as uncharacterized. The record is from RefSeq and is a predicted model, not a curated record. The transcript has 3 exons. NCBI's taxonomy places the organism in Eukaryota, Metazoa, Chordata, Mammalia, Carnivora, Mustelidae.
GGCCACCAAGGAGGUGCCUUUGGGGAAUGAGGACACAUUCCUGUCCCUGAGCCUGAUGACCUGAGGACCCACUCCUGGGACAAGCCUCAGGAAGAAUGAUGUCAUCGGCAAACUAUCUUGCAUCCUUAUUGAGAAGAAAGAUCCAGAAUGUGAACACUACUUGGAAACCUUAAAGAUUUAAGCAGAAGAAAGAGGAGUGCUGAGCACUGUGCCAGGGACUUUAAUGAGUAUUAAAAGGAGACUCACCGAACCUCAGAUGUUGGAACCGGGGAGAAACCCAUAGCCCAGCCAGGCUUUUGACAGGAGGACACCGGCAGCCCCUCAAAGUGGCACCGUCUGGUGGCCAUCACUGGGAUUCUGAGAGCCACCCAGCAACUCUGGGUCAAGGAAGAAAAGAUUUCUCUGAAUCUUCUUUCAAAAAAAUAAUUUACUAAAGU